This 495-nucleotide ribosomal RNA is filed under the name uncultured bacterium. RNAcentral's name for it is "partial 16S ribosomal RNA". It matches the Rfam family "Bacterial small subunit ribosomal RNA", at positions 28 to 506 of the family's 1533-position model. The record is from RNAcentral.
GAUGAACGCUGGCGGCGUGCCUAAUACAUGCAAGUCGAGCGAACAGACGAGGAGCUUGCUCCUCUGACGUUAGCGGCGGACGGGUGAGUAACACGUGGAUAACCUACCUAUAAGACUGGGAUAACUUCGGGAAACCGGAGCUAAUACCGGAUAAUAUAUUGAACCGCAUGGUUCAAUAGUGAAAGACGGUUUUGCUGUCACUUAUAGAUGGAUCCGCGCCGCAUUAGCUAGUUGGUAAGGUAACGGCUUACCAAGGCAACGAUGCGUAGCCGACCUGAGAGGGGAUUCGGCCAACCUGGACUUGGGACCGGGUCCAGAUUCCAACGGAAGGCGGAGGUAGGAAACCGUCCGAAAGGGGCGAAGCCCUGCCGGGGAACGGCCGGGUGAUGGAUAAGGGUCUCGGGAUCUAAAACCCCUGUUAUUAGGGAAAACCAAAUGUGAAAGUAACUAGGCACGUCUGGACGGAACUUAACCAAAAACCCACGGCAAAUACGU